RNAcentral lists this ribosomal RNA (1261 nucleotides) under uncultured Bacteroides sp. Its description in RNAcentral is "bacterial SSU rRNA". It matches the Rfam family "Bacterial small subunit ribosomal RNA", at positions 96 to 1363 of the family's 1533-position model. Lineage: Bacteria; Pseudomonadati; Bacteroidota; Bacteroidia; Bacteroidales; Bacteroidaceae. The record is from RNAcentral.
AGGCACGGAGUGAGUAACACGUAUCCAACCUGCCGUCUACUCUUGGACAGCCUUCUGAAAGGAAGAUUAAUACAAGAUGGCAUCAUGAGUCCGCAUGUUCACAUGAUUAAAGGUAUUCCGGUAGACGAUGGGGAUGCGUCCCAUUAUAUAGUAGGCGGGGUAACGGCCCACCUAGUCUUCGAUGGAUAGGGGUUCUGAGAGGAAGGUCCCCCACAUUGGAACUGAGACACGGUCCAAACUCCUACGGGAGGCAGCAGUGAGGAAUAUUGGUCAAUGGGCGAGAGCCUGAACCAGCCAAGUAGCGUGAAGGAUGACUGCCCUAUGGGUUGUAAACUUCUUUUAUAAAGGAAUAAAGUCGGGUAUGGAUACCCGUUUGCAUGUACUUUAUGAAUAAGGAUCGGCUAACUCCGUGCCAGCAGCCGCGGUAAUACGGAGGAUCCGAGCGUUAUCCGGAUUUAUUGGGUUUAAAGGGAGCGUACAUGGAUGUUUAAGUCAGUUGUGAAAGUUUGCGGCUCAACCGUAAAAUUGCAGUUGAUACUGGAUAUCUUGAGUGCAGUUGAGGCAGGCGGAAUUCGUGGUGUAGCGGUGAAAUGCUUAGAUAUCACGAAGAACUCCGAUUGCGAAGGCAGCCUGCUAAGCUGCAACUGACAUUGAGGCUCGAAAGUGUGGGUAUCAAACAGGAUUAGAUACCCUGGUAGUCCACACGGUAAACGAUGAAUACUCGCUGUUUGCGAUAUACAGCAAGCGGCCAAGCGAAAGCGUUAAGUAUUCCACUGGGGAGUACGCCGGCAACGGUGAAACUCAAAGGAAUUGACGGGGGCCCGCACAAGCGGAGGAACAUGUGGUUUAAUUCGAUGAUACGCGAGGAACCUUACCCGGGCUUAAAUUGCAGAUGAAUUACGGUGAAAGCCGUAAGCCGCAAGGCAUCUGUGAAGGUGCUGCAUGGUUGUCGUCAGCUCGUGCCGUGAGGUGUCGGCUUAAGUGCCAUAACGAGCGCAACCCUUGUUGUCAGUUACUAACAGGUUCCGCUGAGGACUCUGACAAGACUGCCAUCGUAAGAUGUGAGGAAGGUGGGGAUGACGUCAAAUCAGCACGGCCCUUACGUCCGGGGCUACACACGUGUUACAAUGGGGGGUACAGAGGGCCGCUACCACGCGAGUGGAUGCCAAUCCCAAAAACCUCUCUCAGUUCGGANCGGAGUCUGCAACCCGACUCCACGAAGCUGGAUUCGCUAGUAAUCGCGCAUCAGCCACGGCGCGGU